AUGCGAUACUUGGUGUGAAUUGCAGAAUCUCGUGAACCAUUGAGUCUUUGAACGCAAGUUGUGCCCGAGGCCUUGUGGUCGAGGUCACGCCUGCUUGGGCGUCAUGG
RNAcentral lists this ribosomal RNA (107 nucleotides) under Curcuma amarissima. Its description in RNAcentral is "partial 5.8S ribosomal RNA". It matches the Rfam family "5.8S ribosomal RNA", at positions 53 to 154 of the family's 154-position model. From Rfam's summary of the family: 5.8S ribosomal RNA (5.8S rRNA) is a component of the large subunit of the eukaryotic ribosome. Lineage: Eukaryota; Viridiplantae; Streptophyta; Magnoliopsida; Zingiberales; Zingiberaceae. The record is from RNAcentral.